GGAAGGGGUGUAUUUAUUAGAUUAAAAACCAAUGCCCUUCGGGGCUCACUGGUGAUUCAUGAUAACUCCUCGAAUCGCAUGGCCUUGUGCCGGCGAUGGUUCAUUCAAAUUUCUUCCCUAUCAACUUUCGACGUUUGGGUAUUGGCCAAACAUGGUUGCAACGGGUAACGGAGGGUUAGGGCUCGACCCCGGAGAAGGAGCCUGAGAAACGGCUACUACAUCCAAGGAAGGCAGCAGGCGCGCAAAUUACCCAAUCCCGACACGGGGAGGUAGUGACAAUAAAUACUGAUACAGGGCUCUUUUGGGUCUUGUAAUUGGAAUGAGUACAAUUUAAAUCCCUUAACGAGGAACAAUUGGAGGGCAAGUCUGGUGCCAGCAGCCGCGGUAAUUCCAGCUCCAAUAGCGUAUAUUAAAGUUGUUGUGGUUAAAAAGCUCGUAGUUGAACCUUGGGCCUGGCUGGCCGGUCCGCCUCACCGCGUGUACUGGUCCGGCUGGGCCUUUCCCUCUGUGGAACCCCAUGCCCUUCACUGGGUGUGGCGGGGAACCAGGACUUUUAC
Molecule: ribosomal RNA, 557 nt
Filed under: uncultured fungus
Lineage: Eukaryota; Fungi
Description: SSU rRNA
Rfam family: Eukaryotic small subunit ribosomal RNA
Source: RNAcentral